RNAcentral lists this long non-coding RNA (1452 nucleotides) under Serinus canaria (Common canary). RNAcentral's name for it is "lncRNA (ENSSCAG00000007471.1)". The record is from RNAcentral. Lineage: Eukaryota; Metazoa; Chordata; Aves; Passeriformes; Fringillidae.
AUGGGGGCAGAAAUCAAAAUCAGGAGGAGGAAAAUCAAAAUCAGGAGGAGGAAAAUCAAAAUCAGGAGGAGGAAAAUCAAAAUCAGGAGGAGGAAAAUCAAAAUUAGGAGGAGGAAAAUCAAAAUCAGGAGGAGAACAAAGAUCGAGAGGAGGGAAAUCAAAAUCAGGAGGAGGAAAAUCGAGAUCAGGAGGAGGAAAAUCAAAACCAAGAGGAGGAAAGUCAAGAUGGGGAAGAGGAAAAUGAAGAUCAAGAGGAGGAAAAUCGAGAUGGAGAGGAGGAAAAUCGAGAUCAGGAGGAGGAAAAUCAAAAUUAGGAGAAGGAAAAGCAAAACCAAGAGGAAGAAAAUCAAGAUUAAGAGGAGAAAAAUGAAGAUCAGGAGGAUGAAAAGCAAAAUGGGGAGGAGGAAAAUGAAGACCAGGAGGAGGAAAAUCGAGAUGGAGUGGAGAAUAAAGAUCAGGAGGAGGAAAAUCAAGAUCAGGAGGAGGAAAAUCAAGAUCAGGAGGAGGAAAAUCGAGAUCAAGAAGACGGAAAUCGAGAUGGGGAGGAGAAAAAGCAAAACCAAGAAGAGGAAAAUCGAGAUCAGGAGGAGGAAAAUCAAGAUCGAGAGGAGGAAAAUCAAGAUGGGGAGGAGGAAAAUCAAAAUCAGGAGGAGGAAAACAAAGAUCGAGAGGAGGAAAAUCGAGAUCAGGAGGAGGAAAAUCGAGAAGGGGAAGAGGAGAAUAAAGAUCAGGAGGAGGAAAAUCAAAACCAAGAGGAGGAGAAGCAAAAUGGGGAGGAGAAAAAUCAAGAUGGGGAGGAGGAAAAUCGAGAUGAAGAGGAGAAUAAAGAUCAGGAGGAGGAAAAUCAGGAUGGGGAGGAGGAAAAUGAAGAUCAAGAGGAGGAAAAUCAAGAUGAAGAGGAGGAAAAUCGAGAUCCGGAGGAAGAAAAUGGAGAUCGAGAGGAGAAUAAGGAUGGGGAGGAGGAAAAUCCAGAUGAAGAGGAGGAAAAUUGAGAUGAGGAGGAGGAAAAUCGAGAUCGAGAGGAGGAAAAUCGAGAUCGAGAGGAGGAAAAUCAGGAUGGGGAGGAGGAAAAUCGCGAUAGGGAGGAGGAAAAUCGAGAUCGAGAGGAGGAAAAUCGAGACCAGGAGGAAAAUCGAGAUCGAGAGGAGGAAAAUCAGGAUGGGGAGGAGGAAAAUCGCGAUAGGGAGGAGGAAAAUCGACGGAUGGGGAGGAGGAAAUCGCGAUGGGGAGGAGGAAAAUCGAGAUCAGGAGGAGGAAAAUCGCGAUAGGGAGGAGGAAAAUCGCCAUGGGGAGGAGGAAAAUCAGGACGGGCAGGAGGAUUUGGGGCUGGCUCGAGUUCUCGGGGCUGUUUUUGCCUCCAGGUUUCCCUGGCCGGCAGCGCGGGGGGGGAUGAGGGGAUUCAAUCAACACCCAAAAUUUGGCCGGGCCGGCGGAACAGAGCGAGGUUUGUGA